Molecule: ribosomal RNA, 264 nt
Filed under: uncultured bacterium
Lineage: Bacteria
Description: partial 16S ribosomal RNA
Source: RNAcentral
CUGCUGCCUUCCGUAGGAGUUUGGGCCGUGUCUCAGUCCCAAUGUGGCCGGUCACCCUCUCAGGCCGGCUACUGAUCGUCGCCUUGGUAGGCCGUUACCCCACCAACUAGCUAAUCAGACGCGGGUCCAUCUUAUACUACCUCAGUUUUUCACACAGAAACAUGCGUUCCCGUGCGCUUAUGCGGUAUUAGCAGUCAUUUCUAACUGUUAUCCCCCUGUAUAAGGCAGGUUACCCACGCGUUACUCACCCGUCCGCCGCUAAGU